AAGCAUUAAUUUCUUGAAAGUUCGUUUUGAGUUGUAAUUGUUUGGCUUUUCUAGAGUGAGUAAAGGUUGUUGAGUGAUUCUACUGCAGUGGGUUUGGUAUUGAGCAAAGAAUUGCUCUUGAGUGAAAAAGAGAUUUAUAAAGAGCAAAGGCUUGCUCUAAGAUUGUAAGGGUUUUAAUCUUCACCCAAAGAAGAUUUGAUAGUGGAGUUGAACUCUCAAGGUGGGCCUUGAGGAGAGGACGUAGGCUUGAGAUAGCUGAACCUCUAUAAAUCCUUGUGUUGAUUAUCUUCUUCCUUAUUGCCUUCUAUUUUGUCUUUUUGCUUUAAAAUUUUUAUAAACCCAAUUCACCCCCCCCCUCUUGGGUUGCUUCAAGGGACAACAAGUGGUAUCAGAGCUAAGUCUCCCCAUCUUGAAGAUAUAACUAUCUUGGAGGCAAGAUCGAAUGGCAACCCUCAAUUCUCAAGAAGGUCAAUCGGUUGUGAGACCACCUUUCUUUGAUAGAAAUGACUUUCUAUAUUGGAAAAAUAGAAUGUAUUAUUUCCUCAAAUCGGAAGGAGUUAAUUUGUGGGACAUUGUAGAAAAUGGCCCUUUCUUUCCCACAAGAGUGAUAGAUGGAAACCAAGAGCAAAAACCUAAGAGUGAAUGGAGUGAACUAGAGAAGAGAAGAGUAGCCCUUAAUGACAAAGCCAUUCACAUAUUGUUUUGUGCUCUUAGUAAAAGUGAGUACAAUAAAGUAUGCAUGAAGUCUACCGCCAAGGAAAUUUGAGAUGCUUUGGUUGUCACUCAUGAAGGUACCAAUCAAGUCAAGGAAAACAAGAUGGAAUCCCUCAUCUAUCAAUAUGAGUUAUUCAAGAUGAAAUCCAAUGAAACUAUUAGCCAAAUGUAUGAUAGGUUCAUUGAGAUCAUUGGAGGGAUGAAAUCUCUUGGGAAGACUUUCACAAAUGAAGAAUUGGUGAAGAAAAUCCUUAGAUGUCUACCUAAAGAAUGGCUACCAAAGGUAACUUCUUUAAACGAUGCCAAAGAUUUGAGCAAAGUGCAAUUGGAUGAACUCUUGGGGAACCUCAUUGACUAUGAGAUGACUCUAAAGAGAGAGCAAGUGGAGGAACCUAGCAAAAUGAAAAAGAACAUUGCUCUAAGGGUAGCCUCCGAAGAUACUAGUGAGGAAGAAGAAGAAAUAAGUGAGGAAGAAUUAGCCUUGGUAACUAGGAGAAUAAGGAAGUUGCUUUUCCAAAAUAAAAAGUUCAUCCCAAGGAAGAAUUUUAGAAAGGAAAAAGGUGAAUCAAACAAAAAGGAAGUAGUCAUUUGCUAUGAGUGCAAUAAGCCGGGUCACUACAAAGUGGAUUGUCCCAAGUUGAAGAAGCCUAUCAAAAAGUUCAAGAAGAAGGCCUUCAAAGCAACAUGGGAUGAGUCAAGUGAUACCAAAGAGGAGGACGUUGGUGAUGAAAUUGCCAACAUGUGCUUCAUGACUCUAGAGGAAAGCUCCGAUGAGGUAACUAUACUUGAUGACUCUACUUUAAAUGAUGAUGUUGUUGAGUUUUCAUAUGAUGAACUUGUAGGUGCUUUAAAAUUGAUGAAUGAUGAGCUUGAAAAGAGUCAUAAGAAGAAUAAAAUUUUGAAAUGUGAGUUAGCUAGCUUAAAAAGGGAAAGUGAGAACUCACCUAAGGAACAUUUACCCUCAAAUAAUCCUUCACAAAAAUCCUUAGAUGAGCUCUCAUUAGAAAAUAAAAAUUUGAAAAAUGAAAUCCUUGAGUUGAAAAAUUCUCUUUCAAAGUUUUUAAGAGGCAAGGACAAACUUGAUGAAAUAUUGGGCUCUCAAAGGUCUCCUAGCAUCAAGUAUGGCCUUGGCUAUGAAAAAUCAACUUAAGCAAACUCUUCUAAAACUGUUUUUGUUAAAGCUACUAAUUUAAAAGAACCUAAGGUAUCUAGCUCUAAUGACAACAUACCUAAAGUCUCUAGUAGUAAUAUGUCUAUAAGGAAUGCACAUGUACACAAAUCCACUAGUUACAAUACUCAUAUAAGACACACACCUAGGCAAUUUGCAUAUAAAAGAAAUGAUCAUUAUAGAACACACACUUCUAGUUCACGCAAUCACCACUCUCAUCAUAUCUCUUUCUCACAUGCUUUUAAUAAACAAGGGAGAACUAGCCACAUGAGAACUCAAACACACUCACUCACCUAUGGACCUAGAAUAAGGAAGUUCAAUGGUCAUUGUCACUAUUGUGGCAAGUUUGGCCAUACCAACUAUAGGUGUACUAUUAGAAAAUUACAUCUUGGAUAUGAUAGCAUAUGGAAAUUUGAAAAUAAAAUGACUAACCCCCAAGGACCCAAGUACAUUUGGGUACCUAAAAGUGUUUGAAUCUCUUUUCUUUAGGUUUACUUGAAAUCCUUAAAAAUUAAAAGCAAAUGGUAUCUAGAUAGUGGAUGUACAAGGCACAUGACCGGAAAUUCAAGUCACUUCAUCUCUCUUGAAAAGAAAGACGGAAGUGGACAAGUAACUUUUGGAGAUAAUGGAAAAGGUAAAAUUGUUGGAAUAGGUAAAGUCGGUAAGGAAAACUCUCCUAUUCUUGAUAAAGUUCUCUUAGUUGAUGGUUUGAAGCAUAAUUUAUUAAGUGUAAGUCAAUUAUGUGAUAAAAGUUGUAGAGUUAUCUUUGAACCAAAAUCAUGUUUUGCCUCUAGAAUGUCGGAUAACAAAAUAUUGUUUGUUGGUGAAAGAGUUGAAAAUAUCUAUCUUAUUGAUUUACAAGCUAUGACUAACCUAGAUAUGAAGUGUUUUGUUUCUAUUAGUGAUAACUCUUGGAUUUGGCAUAAAAGGCUUUCUCAAAACUUCGGCUUCCGAAAGCAAGGGACAGAGACGAAAGUUCCACAUGUUCGGCCGCCGAACUUUGACUUUAGGCCGCCAAAAGUCCAUUUUUAAAGGAUGAUGUUCUUCAGCUCAAAUAGUUCGGCCGCCGAACUUUAGCCUUAGGCCGCCGAACCUGAGUUUUUUUGAGCACGAUAUAACAAUUAUUUCUGAACAUAAACGGCUCUAUUUGCAUUUAAUUCACCUCCAACAGCCAUAUUUAUGACUGAACUAUAAAUACAAUGAGUUUUUGAUAUGAAAAGGUUACAACAACCAUCUAAGCAAAUACUUAUUGUGAUUAAAGCUUUUUUCACUCUCUCUCUCUCUCAAAAUCUUGAGCCAAAGCAUUAAUUUCUUGAAAGCUCAUUUUGAGUUGUAAUUGUUUGGCUUUUCUAGAGUGAGUAAAGGUUGUUGAGUGAUUCUACUGCAGUGGGUUUGGUAUUGAGCAAAGAAUUGCUCUUGAGUGAAAAAGAGAUUUGUAAAGAGCAAAGGCUUGCUCUAAGAUUGUAAGGGUUUUAAUCUUCACCCAAAGAAGAUUUGAUAGUGGAGUUAAACUCUCAAGGUGGGCCUUGAGGAGAGGACGUAGGCUUGAGAUAGUUGAACCUCUAUAAAUCCUUGUGUUGAUUAUCUUCUUCCUUAUUGCCUUCUAUUUUGUCUUUUUGCUUUAAAAUUUUUAUAAACCCAAUUCACCCCC
RNAcentral lists this long non-coding RNA (3533 nucleotides) under Manihot esculenta (cassava). RNAcentral describes it as "long non-coding RNA (MESC_LNC008738)". Lineage: Eukaryota; Viridiplantae; Streptophyta; Magnoliopsida; Malpighiales; Euphorbiaceae. The record is from RNAcentral.